Molecule: ribosomal RNA, 492 nt
Filed under: uncultured bacterium
Lineage: Bacteria
Description: partial 16S ribosomal RNA
Rfam family: Bacterial small subunit ribosomal RNA
Source: RNAcentral
AGUGAACGCUGGCGGUAGGCCUAACACAUGCAAGUCGAACGGCAGCACAGUAAGAGCUUGCUCUUACGGGUGGCGAGUGGCGGACGGGUGAGGAAUACAUCGGAAUCUACUUUUUCGUGGGGGAUAACGUAGGGAAACUUACGCUAAUACCGCAUACGACCUACGGGUGAAAGCAGGGGAUCUUCGGACCUUGCGCGAUUGAAUGAGCCGAUGUCGGAUUAGCUAGUUGGCGGGGUAAAGGCCCACCAAGGCGACGAUCCGUAGCUGGUCUGAGAGGAUGAUCAGCCACACUGGAACUUGAGCACGGUCCAGACUCCUACGGGAGGCAGCAGUGGGGAAUAUUGGACAAUGGGCGCAAGCCUGAUCCAGCCAUACCGCGUGGGUGAAGAAGGCCUUCGGGUUGUAAAGCCCUUUUGUUGGGAAAGAAAAGCAGCAGGUUAAUACCCCGCUGUUCUGACGGUACCCAAAGAAUAAGCACCGGCUAACUUCGUG